RNAcentral lists this ribosomal RNA (495 nucleotides) under uncultured bacterium. RNAcentral's name for it is "bacterial SSU rRNA". It matches the Rfam family "Bacterial small subunit ribosomal RNA", at positions 903 to 1397 of the family's 1533-position model. The record is from RNAcentral.
AAAUGAAUUGACGGGGACCCGCACAAGCGGUGGAUGAUGUGGAUUAAUUCGAUGCAACGCGAAAAACCUUACCUACCCUUGACAUGUCAGGAAGUCCGCUGAGAGGUGGAUGUGCCCGAAAGGGAACCUGAACACAGGUGCUGCAUGGCUGUCGUCAGCUCGUGUCGUGAGAUGUUGGGUUAAGUCCCGCAACGAGCGCAACCCUUGUCAUUAAUUGCCAUCAUUCAGUUGGGCACUUUAAUGAGACUGCCGGUGACAAACCGGAGGAAGGUGGGGAUGACGUCAAGUCCUCAUGGCCCUUAUGGGUAGGGCUUCACACGUCAUACAAUGGUCGGUACAGAGGGUCGCCAACCCGCGAGGGGGAGCCAAUCCCACAAAGCCGAUCGUAGUCCGGAUCGCAGUCUGCAACUCGACUGCGUGAAGUCGGAAUCGCUAGUAAUCGUGGAUCAGCAUGUCACGGUGAAUACGUUCCCGGGUCUUGCACACACCGCCCGU